AUUGAGGUAGUAAUCCUGCCUCCUUCUCUGUCUGUCUCUCUGUCUCUCUGUCUGUCUCUCUGUCUGUCUCUCCAGUCCAGCGUCUCCUCUCAGCUCGCUGACUGAACGACCAGAAAGAGGUUUUCGGAGGGCAGACAGUGACGACAGCUCCUCCCUCUCCCUGCACCCCGCCAAAAAAGCUCCGCCCAACGGCUCCCCCGCCAGUCAGCGCUCUCAGAGCUUUGAGCACGACGGCAGACGCCCACAGCCGCUUCCUCGAAAAUCACUGCCUCGAGGUGCGACGAGCCGCCGGGUGGAGGCGUUGUACGACUGUCAGGCCGACCACCACGAUGAGCUGAGCUUCUCUGAGGGACAGGUGCUGGUGGUUCUGGGACAGGAGGACAGUGAUUGGUGGCACGGUUACAUAGAGGAUGAACCGGACCAGAGGGGGUUGUUUCCGUCCUCCUUCGUCCAGCUGCUUUUAGACUGACAUGAACCUGGACCAAACCAGACCAGGACCAGUACAGACCCUGGACCAGUACAGAUCCAGAACACAUCAGUUAGCCUGGAGAACCAGAACCUGGAGCUCGUGUUCAGCUCUGAGCAGCAGAAGAUGAACGCAGGUCAGACUUUCGGGUUUCUGUUUCUCUCGACCUCCCGGGACCGGAUUGAUCUGCCCCAGUCAGCCAUGUUGUCAUGGCAACCAGUGUUCCUUAUGCCUUCUGUUACCAUGGAAACCUUAUAACCUUUUAAUGACCUUUAUGUAGCUCGGGUCACGUGAUAAUGUUGCCAUGGAGACUGCCUCGCACAAACCACUAAGCGACGAUUCAAGUCUGACGUUGACGAUACUUUUAUUUAUUUAUUUAUUUAUUUUAAUUUCAAUAUAUUUUAAUAUGUGCACAAAUACUUCAAAAUAAAAUGAUCCACUGGACUUUAAUUUUGAAGUUGUAAUGAACAACUUGUUCUUAUGGUCUAAUUUACUGUAGCGUUUUUAUUGUUAAUGAUCCAGUGCAGCUUCUGUCGCGUCUCAGGCUCCGCCUACCUGGAAGGGCGGGGCUUAAAAGGUCAAAUAAGUGACCAGAGCACAAAGGAUUGUGGGAUACUGAGGACCAAAGAAUGAAUAAAUAGGAAGAUGCUAGGCCGUCGUCCCCGAACGAUUCUCUGAAUGAAACUGGUAUAAUGUGCAAGCGUCAGCAGUUGAGUUCGCAGCUGACGAUAAAGGUUCGGCUUUAAAGUGACUGUCGGGUUAAAAGGCUGCAAGAUUAUUUUCAUCAUCCCGUGAUUUAUCUAAAAAUUCACCCCAAAAUAAGAAUAAGAAACAUGUUUCACUAAUGCAUAAAUAACUGUAUUAAAUUAUCUUCUCCUUUAACAAAUAUAACAUCAGCAGCUUAAUUUAAAAUAAGUCAAAUCUCCACAUCACUACUGUUAUGAGUCGGAGCUUAUAUUUAUUAUCGGGUUAAAUAACGGCCUGUUAGUGUUGACGCUCGCACAAUAUGCCCUCGAUGAUGUCCGGUGACAUCCUGACAUCUACCAGAUAAAUACCAGUCGUCUGCUCUAAUUCGGGUAACACCGGAGGAGGCGGGGCCUGAAAUGCGACACAGCUGACGCUUUCAGUUGCCUUCGAUGUCACGAGAUAUCCCAACGCCUCAGCGAGUACGGUCGUGUGUUGCUGCCACUUACACGAAAAUACAUUUUCUCUUAAAAUGAGGACAUUUUCUCUUUUUGAAAGAUCUUUUUCUUUAAUGACAUUUCGUUAUCACUACAUACAAAAUGAUUCUUUUUAACUUUCAUAUAACUUAUCACUCGUUAUAUAUCAGUAAACUUUUCUUGUUUUAAAGCGCCAGUUUAUCACGUUAAAGGAAGACACGUUUAUGACAACAUCAUAAAAAGUUUCAUGAUGGAAAAAGAAAAUGCUUUGUGGUAAUGAAACAGAAUAAUUUGGUAUGUAGUGAUGACAAGAUCAUAACAGUAACGACUGAAACAUCCGAUACUGAAAACUGAGCUGAAAGUUUGUUUUUUUAAUCAUAGUGGCAGCAACACUGUCAUAUAAGGGAACUUUACUGACGUCAAAUUUCUCAGCAAAACUUCUCUCAUCUGGGUUUGAUUGUCUCAACAUUUACCUCCAGAACUUUUUAUAGAAAAAAAAAACUUUAAAUGUUGUUUCAUAUUUUUUUAUUUUAUUCAAAGUGACAGCGCUUGGUUUAUGUUGUUUUGAAACAUCACAGUGCUUCUGUCUGUUUGGUAGCUAUAAAUGAAUGACUUGAUGAUCAGCAGGAUGCUUGUUUGAUAAAACAGAAGGAAAUGUAAGUUUCACUUAAGAGUCACAGUUAAAAUAUGAUGAUCUGAAUUAAAGCUAAAGUAAGAUACAUCAUGAUUUGAUUUAAUCCGCAUCUUCCCGCAUUCCUGAUGGAGGUAAUUUCCAGACUGCAGGGAAUCUAAGCACAACUUUGGAUUUAAACUCACAACAAACUUGAUUUUGUUCAGUGUGAGGAAGUAAAUCUUUUUACUACAACUUAGUCUGCACAUUUCUAAACUGUUCAUCCGGAUGUGAGGUCCAGCUCAGGACUCUGGAGGGCUGCUGCUCUGUCAUUAAGUGGCUGCGAGUUCCUCAUAAAGUGGAUAAUUUCCCAGUUUAUCAGCAGGAGUUUUUUUUUUUUCCUGGAGAAGUCGACAAAGUGCUAAAUCAAGCAGCAGAUGUUUCAGAUUAAACCGUGGCUUCAGAUGACUCAGCGUUCGACUUGUUCCAGACAAACUGGGAUAAAGUCUAAACUGCAGCCGAGUUAACGACACAGCAGCCGCCUCCAGAUAAUAAUUCAGCAUUUAUGAUUAUUUAUAGAGGUCUCAGUCUGCUUCAAACAAAGUGUCGGCUCGUCCAAAAACUCCCUUUUCCAACAGCUGCAUUUGACAGUUUUUGUCUCUACAAAGACAGAUUUGUUGGACGGAGCUCAGGGAAACUGCGAGACGCAGCCAGGAGGAGUUUAUGAUGGCGGGCUUUUCACUCCUGCUCAGAACAACUCUUAGCACUUCGUAUGACCUACUUCUUUUCUAGCAUAUCCCGGCCUUCAGUUGUCGUACCAGCAAGUGUGUUUGAAGCAGACUGAAGUCUUUACGGAGCGUUUUCACACUGGCAGGUUUGGUCUGAAUCAAAGAGAAACAGUCAUUGCGUCGUAUUAUCGGAGUUCAACAGAUGUGCAGUAAAAGAUGCGGUCUGAACUCACAAAAAGGCACAAAAGCUCGCACAACUAAAAGCACAGCACUGAGGUUAGAGCACUCAGAAACGUUCGUGUACUUCAUAUAUGAAGCACAAAAACUAAAUCCGCAAGAGAGCAGAUCAGAUCUUUAUCGCUCAACAUUAGUCCACAAAACCGGUAACAUCCGCUAGUCGCUGAAAAUUAAGAGCUGCGUACUCGUGCAACAGAUUAGCAGAUAAAUCAGUUUCUAAGAUCCUUUAAGGCAGCAGAGGAUAAUUAUUAUUAUUUUUGAUUUUUUUAACAAAAUUUUGAACUUCUGGAAAUCUGGCAAUCUGCGAUUUUUUAAUUAAUUAAAUAUAUUAUAUAUGAGACAAAAACCAAGUAUAAAGAAGUCUUUGAAAAUAAAAUCUAUGACGACAUGUAUUACAGUUUUUGUCUACGCAUAAAAACUAUAUGAAAAAUGAACGGAUGGACAAAUUAAUUAUUGUUUUAACGCGUUUCCUACGCAAACUUAUACAUUCUUCUUAAGGCUAACUCCCUUUAGAUACGGAAAUAGAUACGUCUGUGUCAAAUGUUGUAAACAGCAGCACAGCCUCCAUGAGUUUUGUAUUGUUUUGAUAUAGCAAAUAGAAAGUAGUAGAAUCAAACCAUUCACACAAAAAACGAUAAAGCAACGGUGGAGGAGGUCGUACUAAUGUACCCUUUAACCGAGGCAGUGUUGUAGAUGUCGGCGAUUUAAGAGGCGACGUGUAGACGGAGAAUUAUUUUAGGUAUAUUACUGAUCUGUUCUUCGUCAUCUCGGGUCUCGCUUGAACUACACCGCUACUCCGAUCCGUUUCUCUUCCAAAGACUUGAGCAGAGGGCUCGCCAUCAUGCAAAACAGAAGUGUAGCUCAAAGACACGAUAUGAGCGACCUCAGAGCGAUCAGACUGAUUCAGACUCGAUCUUACUCGGUGUGAAAAUGCUCUUUAACUCCUGAUAGUGUAAACGAAGCCACAAACAUUCAGACAACUGUGAUUGACAAUCAGCAACAGUUU
Plectropomus leopardus (leopard coralgrouper) is the source of this 4207-nucleotide non-coding RNA. The record is from RefSeq and is a predicted model, not a curated record. Lineage: Eukaryota; Metazoa; Chordata; Actinopteri; Perciformes; Serranidae.